RNAcentral lists this ribosomal RNA (557 nucleotides) under uncultured Novosphingobium sp. RNAcentral's name for it is "bacterial SSU rRNA". It matches the Rfam family "Bacterial small subunit ribosomal RNA", at positions 102 to 694 of the family's 1533-position model. The record is from RNAcentral. Lineage: Bacteria; Pseudomonadati; Pseudomonadota; Alphaproteobacteria; Sphingomonadales; Sphingomonadaceae.
ACGGGUGCGUAACGCGUGGGAAUCUGCCCUUGGGUUCGGAAUAACAGUUAGAAAUGACUGCUAAUACCGGAUGAUGUCUUCGGACCAAAGAUUUAUCGCCCAAGGAUGAGCCCGCGUAAGAUUAGCUAGUUGGUGGGGUAAUGGCCCACCAAGGCGACGAUCUUUAGCUGGUCUGAGAGGAUGAUCAGCCACACUGGGACUGAGACACGGCCCAGACUCCUACGGGAGGCAGCAGUGGGGAAUAUUGGACAAUGGGCGAAAGCCUGAUCCAGCUAUGCCGCGUGAGUGAUGAAGGCCUUAGGGUUGUAAAGCUCUUUUACCAGGGAUGAUAAUGACAGUACCUGGAGAAUAAGCUCCGGCUAACUCCGUGCCAGCAGCCGCGGUAAUACGGAGGGAGCUAGCGUUGUUCGGAAUUACUGGGCGUAAAGCGUACGUAGGCGGUUACUCAAGUCAGAGGUGAAAGCCCGGGGCUCAACCCCGGAACUGCCUUUGAAACUAGGUAGCUAGAGUCUUGGAGAGGUUAGUGGAAUUCCGAGUGUAGAGGUGAAAUUCGUAGA